UCCUGGCUCAGAACGAACGCUGGCGGCGUGCUUAACACAUGCAAGUCGCGUGCGCAGUUCCGUAGCAAUACGGAGAUGGGCGCACGGCGCACGGGUGCGUAACACGUGGGCAAUCUGCCCUUUGAUGGGGAAUAACCCGCCGAAAGGCGGGCUAAUUCCGCAUAAGAUUCUCUGAACUCGGUUUGGGGAUUGAAAGCAGCAAUGCGUCGAAGGAGGAGCCCGCGCCCGAUUAGCUAGUUGGUGAGGUAACGGCUCACCAAGGCAAUGAUCGGUAGCUGGUCUGAGAGGAUGAUCAGCCACACUGGAACUGAGACACGGUCCAGACUCCUACGGGAGGCAGCAGUGGGGAAUCUUGCACAAUGGGCGAAAGCCUGAUGCAGCGAACGCCGCGUGGGGGAUGAAGCAUUUCGGUGUGUAAACCCCUUUCGACUGGGAAGAAUGCCUCGCAAGAGGAGUGACGGUACCAGUAGAGGAAGCCCCGGCUAACUACGUGCCAGCCGCGGC
RNAcentral lists this ribosomal RNA (504 nucleotides) under uncultured bacterium. RNAcentral's name for it is "bacterial SSU rRNA". It matches the Rfam family "Bacterial small subunit ribosomal RNA", at positions 17 to 518 of the family's 1533-position model. The record is from RNAcentral.